Molecule: transfer RNA, 77 nt
Filed under: Deltaproteobacteria bacterium
Lineage: Bacteria; Pseudomonadati; Myxococcota; Myxococcia
Description: tRNA-Pro
Rfam family: tRNA
About the family: Transfer RNA (tRNA) molecules are approximately 80 nucleotides in length. Their secondary structure includes four short double-helical elements and three loops (D, anti-codon, and T loops). Further hydrogen bonds mediate the characteristic L-shaped molecular structure. tRNAs have two regions of fundamental functional importance: the anti-codon, which is responsible for specific mRNA codon recognition, and the 3' end, to which the tRNAs corresponding amino acid is attached (by aminoacyl-tRNA synthetases). tRNAs cope with the degeneracy of the genetic code in two manners: having more than one tRNA (with a specific anti-codon) for a particular amino acid; and 'wobble' base-pairing, i.e. permitting non-standard base-pairing at the 3rd anti-codon position.
Source: RNAcentral
CGGCGUGUAGCGCAGUUUGGUAGCGCACUUGCUUCGGGAGCAAGGGGUCGGAGGUUCAAAUCCUCUCACGCCGACAA